AUAUUUUAAGGUUUUUUACCUUCUUAAUAUCUUCAAUAUUAUACUUUAAAAUAAGCUAUUAAAAUA
This 66-nucleotide transfer RNA is filed under the name Cautires sp. UPOL 000315. RNAcentral describes it as "tRNA-Phe". Lineage: Eukaryota; Metazoa; Arthropoda; Insecta; Coleoptera; Lycidae. The record is from RNAcentral.